RNAcentral lists this unclassified non-coding RNA (396 nucleotides) under uncultured Bordetella sp. Its description in RNAcentral is "partial 16S-23S ribosomal RNA intergenic spacer". It matches the Rfam family "Bacterial small subunit ribosomal RNA", at positions 12 to 397 of the family's 1533-position model. Lineage: Bacteria; Pseudomonadati; Pseudomonadota; Betaproteobacteria; Burkholderiales; Alcaligenaceae. The record is from RNAcentral.
UUCGAUCAUGGCUCAGAUUGAACGCUGGCGGGAUGCUUUACACAUGCAAGUCGAACGGCAGCACGGACUUCGGUCUGGUGGCGAGUGGCGAACGGGUGGUAAUGUAUCCGGAACGUGCCUAGUAGCGGGGGAUAACUACGCGAAAGCGUAGCUAAUACCGCGCCCUUCGGGGAAAGCGGGGGACCUUCGAAUUUGCACUCGCACUAUUAGAGCGGCCGAUAUCGGAUUAGCUGGUUGGUGGGGUAACGGCUCACCAAGGCGACGAUCCGUAGCUGGUUUGAGAGGACGACCAGCCACACUGGGAUUGAGACACGGCCCAGACCGAAGUCCGUGCUGCCGUUCGACUUGCAUGUGUAAAGCAUCCCGCCAGCGUUCAAUCUGAGCCAUGAUCGAACC